Molecule: unclassified non-coding RNA, 1717 nt
Filed under: uncultured fungus
Lineage: Eukaryota; Fungi
Description: sequence contains 18S rRNA gene, ITS1, 5.8S rRNA gene, ITS2, 28S rRNA gene
Rfam family: Eukaryotic large subunit ribosomal RNA (bases 737-1717)
Source: RNAcentral
AGCUGGAUCAUUUUUCCGAAAAUGGUUUCAAUACCAACAACAACAACAAACCCUUCGUUCCUCUCUCGGAACACACAAAACAAAAUCCCAGCGCAGCCAAGAAGGACGGGUCUCUCGUUCUCUCUUUCCUGCCCUACCUCAAGGCAAAGGGGAAAAUAGUUGGAGACAACAAUUGAAACCUUUACCUUGCAAAUACAAUUUACGCACGCCAACGAAAAAAAAAAAAGGAAGUAAAACACCUUUCUUUCUUUCCUGGUGUGGGGUAGAACCUAAAACGUGUCGCGAUGGAUGACUUGGCUUCCCAUAUCUGUGAAGAACGCAGCAAAGUGCGAUAAGUGGUAUGAAUUGCAGAAUCUCUCCAUUACUUAAUCUUUGAACGCAAAAGGCGCUCGGGAGAAACCCCUUGUGGGUCAUCCCCGUGCAUGCCGUAUUGCUCAGUGUCGAAAAACAACAAUAUAUAUCUUCUUCUGUCAUAGGAAGAAGAGCGGUUUCUCGAAGUUGCGAGGAAGACGCGCUCGCGCAUUUUUCCUUUCGCAAUUCGGGGAUUGGGUGUUCCUUUUGUUGGAAACGACAAAAUUAAAAGCAUCCAAUCAUACUUUUCUGGCGGCUGCUCUCUCUUCUUCACGAUUUGAAAGCGUCACAGAAAAUCAAAACCGAUACAACCAAUGUCUUGUCUCUUCUUUACUUCGCGGUGAGGAUGUGGUCAACACACUAAAAAUACAACAAAUAUAUUUUACGGACCUGAGUGCGGCAGGACGACCCGCUAAACUUAAGCAUAUUGCUCAGCGGAGGAAAAGAAAACAACCGUGAUUCCCUUAGUGAGCGGCGAGCGAACAGGGAUCCAACUCGAUGCCGAAUCGGGCUUUACAGAGCCUUGAGUUGUGGCACAACUGCCCCGUGACUGGUCAAGGGAGUGGCAAAAUUCAAUGUGCAAAGCAAACCCAUUGUUGAAUGCAACCCUUCAUGUGAGUAUUGAGCCAUAGGAGGUGAAAGCCCAUUCCAGCCACUAGACCCUAAGCCUCAUUGGGUGGUUAUAAGCGAGUAGCACUGCUUGGGAAUGCAGUGUCAAGCGGCAGGUAUGUGUCUGCCAAAGUUAAAUACAAAAUGGGAAGACCGAUAGCAAACAAGUAGCGUGAGCGAAAGUUUGAAAAGCACUUUGGAAAGAGAGUGACAUAGAACCUGAAGUCGUGACAAUGACAAUGAAAGUGCCUCCAUUUUUGUCAAGGCCAGCCCUGCAGCAUUAUCCGUCGUUCCUCCUUCGGGCGCCAACGGCGGUCAAACAAGUGUUGAAAGGGGACUGGAGCAACGAGCCGAGGUAAAGGUGGGAGUUCUGCCUAGCAGUGAACCCUAUCUUCUCGGUAGACUCUGAGACUUGACGCUCUGGAAAUGGGGUACCUUCACCCGUCUUGAAACACGGACCAAGGAGUCAAACAGACACGCAAGAGGGAAGAUAUUGUUGCCAGUACUUCUCUCGAACUGAAAGGGAUGCUUUUUGCAUUGGUGUGCACACAAGAACUGCCCAACACCGGCCGCCCUUCUUUUAGGGUGAGUCUGAGUGUGCCUGUUUGGACCCGAAAGGUGGUGAACUAUGCCUGAACAAGGUGAAGUCCGGGGAAACUCGGAUGGAGGCCUGUAGCGGUGCUGACGUGCAAAUCGCUCGCACGAUUUGGGUAUCGGAGCGAAAGACUCAUCGAACCACCUAGUAGCUGGUUCACAU